GACGAACGCUGGCUGCGUGCUUAACACAUGCAAGUCGAACGGUAAGGCUCCAGCUUGCUGGGGUACACGAGUGGCGAACGGGUGAGUAACACGUGGGUGACCUGCCCUGCACUUCGGGAUAAGCCUGGGAAACUGGGUCUAAUACCGGAUAGGACCGCACCGUGAGGGUGUGGUGGAAAGUUUUUUCGGUGUGGGAUGGGCCCGCGGCCUAUCAGCUUGUUGGUGGGGUAAUGGCCUACCAAGGCGGCGACGGGUAGCCGGCCUGAGAGGGUGGACGGCCACAUUGGGACUGAGAUACGGCCCAGACUCCUACGGGAGGCAGCAGUGGGGAAUAUUGCACAAUGGGCGGAAGCCUGAUGCAGCGACGCCGCGUGGGGGAUGACGGCCUUCGGGUUGUAAACUCCUUUCACCAUCGACGAAGGGUUUCUGACGGUAGAUGGAGAAGAAGCACCGGCUAACUACGUGCCAGCAGCCGCGGUAAUACGUAGGGUGCGAGCGUUGUCCGGAAUUACUGGGCGUAAAGAGCUCGUAGGUGGUUUGUCGCGUCGUCUGUGAAAUUCCGGGGCUUAACUCCGGGCGUGCAGGCGAUACGGGCAUAACUUGAGUACUGUAGGGGAGACUGGAAUUCCUGGUGUAGCGGUGAAAUGCGCAGAUAUCAGGAGGAACACCGGUGGCGAAGGCGGGUCUCUGGGCAGUAACUGACGCUGAGGAGCGAAAGCAUGGGGAGCGAACAGGAUUAGAUACCCUGGUAGUCCAUGCCGUAAACGGUGGGCGCUAGGUGUGGGUUUCCUUCCACGGGAUCCGUGCCGUAGCUAACGCAUUAAGCGCCCCGCCUGGGGAGUACGGCCGCAAGGCUAAAACUCAAAGGAAUUGACGGGGGCCCGCACAAGCGGCGGAGCAUGUGGAUUAAUUCGAUGCAACGCGAAGAACCUUACCUGGGCUUGACAUAUACAGGAUCGCGCCAGAGAUGGUGUUUCCCUUGUGGCUUGUAUACAGGUGGUGCAUGGUUGUCGUCAGCUCGUGUCGUGAGAUGUUGGGUUAAGUCCCGCAACGGGCGCAACCCUUGUCUUAUGUUGCCAGCACGUUGUGGUGGGGACUCGUAAGAAACUGCCGGGGUUAACUCGGAGGAAGGUGGGGAUGACGUCAAAUCAUCAUGCCCCUUAUGUCCAGGGCUUCACACAUGCUACAAUGGUCGGUACAGUGGGUUGCCAGUCCGUGAGGGCGAGCUAAUCCCGCAAAGCCGGUCUCAGUUCGGAUCGGGGUCUGCAACUCGACCCCGUGAAGUCGGAGUCGCUAGUAAUCGCAGAUCAGCAACGCUGCGGUGAAUACGUUCCCGGGCCU
RNAcentral lists this ribosomal RNA (1341 nucleotides) under uncultured bacterium. Its description in RNAcentral is "16S ribosomal RNA". It matches the Rfam family "Bacterial small subunit ribosomal RNA", at positions 28 to 1381 of the family's 1533-position model. The record is from RNAcentral.